Molecule: non-coding RNA, 45 nt
Organism: Schistosoma mansoni
Lineage: Eukaryota; Metazoa; Platyhelminthes; Trematoda; Strigeidida; Schistosomatidae
Source: Rfam
ACUUAACUGACGAGUCCCAAAUAGGACGAAACGUGUGUCCAGGAU